Non-coding RNA from Cinara cedri, 253 nucleotides. NCBI's taxonomy places the organism in Eukaryota, Metazoa, Arthropoda, Insecta, Hemiptera, Aphididae. The record is from the annotation of a GenBank genome assembly.
AUAUUCUGUAAAUUUCCAUACAUAGAAUCGGGUCCGUGUGUACGUCAAAGCCGGAUUUCCGAAAUUCAACUCUUAAAAUGUGGCUCAUCAUAUAGGACUUUUAGUAUUAUGAUACACAAAUUUAAUUUUGAUUUCUGUGUUGGUUUAUGAAUUACCUCGGUGACACGGAUGAAAUAGAGCAGAUGGGGAGAAUUUAUUUUAUUGAUUUUGGUUUUCGAAGGGAUUUUUUAAAAACAUUCCGCUUUUAAAUAGU